GAUGAACGCUGGCGGCGUGCUUAACACAUGCCAGUCGAACGAUGAAGCCCAGCUUGCUGGGUGGAUUAGUGGCGAACGGGUGAGUAACACGUGAGUAACCUGCCCUUAACUCUGGGAUAAGCCUGGGAAACUGGGUCUAAUACCGGAUAGGAGCGUCCACCGCAUGGUGGGUGUUGGAAAGAUUUAUCGGUUUUGGAUGGACUCGCGGCCUAUCAGCUUGUUGGUGAGGUAAUGGCUCACCAAGGCGACGACGGGUAGCCGGCCUGAGAGGGUGACCGGCCACACUGGGACUGAGACACGGCCCAGACUCCUACGGGAGGCAGCAGUGGGGAAUAUUGCACAAUGGGCGCAAGCCUGAUGCAGCGACGCCGCGUGAGGGAUGACGGCCUUCGGGUUGUAAACCUCUUUCAGUAGGGAAGAAGCGAAAGUGACGGUACCUGCAGUAGAAGCACCGGCUAACUACGUG
This 466-nucleotide ribosomal RNA is filed under the name uncultured bacterium. Its description in RNAcentral is "partial 16S ribosomal RNA". It matches the Rfam family "Bacterial small subunit ribosomal RNA", at positions 28 to 507 of the family's 1533-position model. The record is from RNAcentral.